GGUUAACCCGCGUGAGGGAUUGAAGCGGUAUCCUUUUUUUGCUGCCAUAAAUGGCAAAAAAAGAUUUAGCGGAAAGCCCGACCCUUG
This 87-nucleotide small RNA is filed under the name Algibacter pectinivorans. Its description in RNAcentral is "Pontirhabdus pectinovorans Flavo-1 RNA". It matches the Rfam family "Flavo-1 RNA". Lineage: Bacteria; Pseudomonadati; Bacteroidota; Flavobacteriia; Flavobacteriales; Flavobacteriaceae. The record is from Rfam by way of RNAcentral.